ACCACUUCAGUAAGACGUAUGUGGUUAGAAUCUUCGACUCUGAAAGUCUUUAGAAAAUGUACUUCCUUGUGAAGAAACAUAGCUCUUUAACAAUUUGGAAAGCUGACAAAGAGGCGAACCGGGGGAACUGAAACAUCUAAGUACCCCGAGGAAAAGAAAUCAACCGAGAUUCCGAAAGUAGCGGCGAGCGAAAUUGGACUAGCCCUUAAGCUUUACACGCGUUAGACGAACGGUCUGGAAAGUCCGACGAUACAGGGUGAUAGUCCCGUAGUUGACGACGUGUGUUCAGUGAAAUCGAGUAGGGCGGGACACGUGAUAUCCUGUCUGAAUAUGGGGGGACCAUCCUCCAAGGCUAAAUACUACUGACUGACCGAUAGUGAACCAGUACCGUGAGGGAAAGGCGAAAAGAACCCCUGUGAGGGGAGUGAAAUAGAACCUGAAACCGUGUACGUACAAGCAGUAGGAGCAGGCUUGUCCUGUGACUGCGUACCUUUUGUAUAAUGGGUCAGCGACUUAUAUUCAGUGGCAAGGUUAACCAUCUAGGGGAGCCGUAGGGAAACCGAGUCUUAACUGGGCGUUCAGUCUCUGGAUAUAGACCCGAAACCAGGUGAUCUAGCCAUGGGCAGGUUGAAGGUUGAGUAACAUCAACUGGAGGACCGAACCGACUAAUGUUGAAAAAUUAGCGGAUGACUUGUGGCUAGGGGUGAAAGGCCAAUCAAACCUGGAGAUAGCUGGUUCUCCCCGAAAGCUAUUUAGGUAGCGCCUCGGACGAAUACUACUGGGGGUAGAGCACUGUUAAGGCUAGGGGGUCAUCCCGACUUACCAACCCUUUGCAAACUCCGAAUACCAGUAAGUACUAUCCGGGAGACACACGGCGGGUGCUAACGUCCGUCGUGGAGAGGGAAACAACCCAGACCGCCAGCUAAGGUCCCAAAUUACUACUAAGUGGGAAACGAUGUGGGAAGGCUCAGACAGCCAGGAUGUUGGCUUAGAAGCAGCCAUCAUUUAAAGAAAGCGUAAUAGCUCACUGGUCGAGUCGGCCUGCGCGGAAGAUGUAACGGGGCUAAGUAGUAAACCGAAGCUGCGGCAAURURCUUUUGYAYAUUGGGUAGGGGAGCGUUCUGUAAGCGGUUGAAGGUGUGUGGUAACGCAUGCUGGACGUAUCAGAAGUGCGAAUGCUGACAUGAGUAACGAUAAAGGGGGUGAAAAACCUCCUCGCCGGAAGACCAAGGGUUCCUGUCCAACGUUAAUCGGGGCAGGGUAAGUCGACCCCUAAGGCGAGGCCGAAAGGCGUAGUCGAUGGGAAACGGGUUAAUAUUCCCGUACUUCUUACAAUUGCGAUGGGGGGACGGAGAAGGCUAGGUGGGCCUGGCGACGGUUGUCCAGGUUCAAGUGCGUAGGCUUAAGAGUUAGGUAAAUCCGGCUCUUUUUAAGGCUGAGACACGACGUCGAGCUACUACGGUAGUGAAGUCAUUGAUGCCAUGCUUCCAGGAAAAGCCUCUAAGCUUCAGAUUGUAAGGAAUCGUACCCCAAACCGACACAGGUGGUCGGGUAGAGAAUACCAAGGCGCUUGAGAGAACUCGGGUGAAGGAACUAGGCAAAAUGGUACCGUAACUUCGGGAGAAGGUACGCUCUYGAYGGUGAAGUCCCUCGCGGAUGGAGCURWYGAGAGUCGCAGAUACCAGGUGGCUGCAACUGUUUAUUAAAAACACAGCACUGUGCAAAAUCGUAAGAUGACGUAUACGGUGUGACGCCUGCCCGGUGCCGGAAGGUUAAUUGAUGGGGUUAGACUUCGGUCGAAGCUCUUGAUCGAAGCCCCGGUAAACGGCGGCCGUAACUAUAACGGUCCUAAGGUAGCGAAAUUCCUUGUCGGGUAAGUUCCGACCUGCACGAAUGGCGUAAUGAUGGCCACGCUGUCUCCACCCGAGACUCAGUGAAAUUGAAAUCGCUGUGAAGAUGCAGUGUACCCGCGGCUAGACGGAAAGACCCCGUGAACCUUUACUACAGCUUGGCACUGAACAUUGACCCUACAUGUGUAGGAUAGGUGGGAGGCUUUGAAGCACGUACGCCAGUAUGUGUGGAGCCGUCCUUGAAAUACCACCCUUGUAGUGUUGAUGUUCUAACGUCGACCCCUUAUCGGGGUUGCGGACAGUGCCUGGUGGGUAGUUUGACUGGGGCGGUCUCCUCCCAAAGAGUAACGGAGGAGCACGAAGGUGGGCUAAUCACGGUUGGACAUCGUGAGGUUAGUGCAAUGGCAUAAGCCCGCUUGACUGCGAGAAUGACAAUUCGAGCAGGUGCGAAAGCAGGUCAUAGUGAUCCGGUGGUUCUGAAUGGAAGGGCCAUCGCUCAACGGAUAAAAGGUACUCCGGGGAUAACAGGCUGAUACCGCCCAAGAGUUCAUAUCGACGGCGGUGUUUGGCACCUCGAUGUCGGCUCAUCACAUCCUGGGGCUGAAGUCGGUCCCAAGGGUAUGGCUGUUCGCCAUUUAAAGUGGUACGCGAGCUGGGUUUAGAACGUCGUGAGACAGUUCGGUCCCCCUGAUACUUUAAGUAUCCUAAAGGGUUGUCGGAGACUACGACGUUGAUAGGUCAGGUGUGUAAGUGCUGUGAGGCAUUGAGCUAACUGAUACUAAUUGCCCGUGAGGCUUAACCAUACAACACCCAAGGGGUUUUGAUGGACUCAAACUAGAACAUUGAAUGUGUAAGAACGAAAACAGCUUUCCAGAUUUAGGAAUUGAAUUUAUUAACUACAUCCAUGUAGUUAACCCUUCGGGCCGCACUGACGUGCGUUAAAUU
Molecule: ribosomal RNA, 2795 nt
Filed under: Vibrio parahaemolyticus
Lineage: Bacteria; Pseudomonadati; Pseudomonadota; Gammaproteobacteria; Vibrionales; Vibrionaceae
Description: bacterial LSU rRNA
Source: RNAcentral